RNAcentral lists this ribosomal RNA (255 nucleotides) under uncultured bacterium. RNAcentral describes it as "partial 16S ribosomal RNA". It matches the Rfam family "Bacterial small subunit ribosomal RNA", at positions 524 to 776 of the family's 1533-position model. The record is from RNAcentral.
UACGUAGGGUGCGAGCGUUGUCCGGAAUUAUUGGGCGUAAAGAGCUCGUAGGCGGUGUGUCACGUCGGCCGUGAAAACCUGCAGCUUAACUGUGGGCGUGCGGUCGAUACGGGCAUCACUGGAGUUCGGCAGGGGAGACUGGAAUUCCUGGUGUAGCGGUGAAAUGCGCAGAUAUCAGGAGGAACACCGGUGGCGAAGGCGGGUCUCUGGGCCUGUACUGACGCUGGAGGAGCGAAAGCGUGGGGAGCGAACAGG